GUCUCGGUAGCUCAGUGGUAGAGCGUGGGAUUGCAGCCCCCAAUAGCCAAAAUCCUAAGGUCAUGUGUUCGAUCCACAUUCGGGACU
Xylariaceae sp. FL1019 is the source of this 87-nucleotide non-coding RNA. The record is from the annotation of a GenBank genome assembly. NCBI's taxonomy places the organism in Eukaryota, Fungi, Ascomycota, Sordariomycetes, Xylariales, Xylariaceae.